This 425-nucleotide ribosomal RNA is filed under the name uncultured prokaryote. RNAcentral describes it as "bacterial SSU rRNA". It matches the Rfam family "Bacterial small subunit ribosomal RNA", at positions 355 to 796 of the family's 1533-position model. The record is from RNAcentral.
UGGGGAAUUUUCCGCAAUGGGCGAAAGCCUGACGGAGCAAUACCGCGUGAGGGAGGAAGGCUCUUGGGUUGUAAACCUCUUUUCUCAGGGAAGAAUCCUGACGGUACCUGAGGAAUCAGCAUCGGCUAACUCCGUGCCAGCAGCCGCGGUAAUACGGAGGAUGCAAGCGUUAUCCGGAAUUAUUGGGCGUAAAGCGUCCGCAGGUGGCCGAUCGUGUCUGCUGUCAAAGACUAGAGCUCAACUCUGGAAAGGCAGUGGAAACUGGUCAGCUAGAGUACGGUAGGGGUUGAGGGAAUUCCCAGUGUAGCGGUGAAAUGCGUAGAUAUUGGGAAGAACACCAGUGGCGAAGGCGCUCAACUGGGCCGUAACUGACACUCAGGGACGAAAGCUAGGGUAGCGAAAGGGAUUAGAUACCCCCGUAGUCC